Molecule: long non-coding RNA, 2868 nt
Organism: Strigops habroptila (Kakapo)
Lineage: Eukaryota; Metazoa; Chordata; Aves; Psittaciformes; Psittacidae
Source: Ensembl
GAAGUGUCGCAGCGCCGCGGCGGCGCAGGGAGGCGGUCGAUCGGUCGGUGUGGCCGGGCCGCCCCCGCCGCCGCCAUGGGCGCCAGCGGCUCCAAGUCGCGGGGACUGUGGCCCUUCUCCUCCCCGGCGGCGGGCGGCGGCGGCGGCGCUGAGGGUGCCGGCGGGCAGCAGGCCCUGGCCCGGGCGCGGGCCGCGCGCGCAGCCACCCCGUUCGUCUUCACACGGCGCGGCUCCAUGUACUAUGAUGAGGACGGGGAUCUCGCUCACGAGUUCUACGAGGAGACAAUCGUUACCAAGAACGGGAGGAAACGCGCCAAGCUGAAGAGGAUCCACAAGAACCUGAUACCUCAGGGUAUAGUGAAACUAGAGCAUCCUCGCAUUCAUGUGGAUUUCCCGGUGAUCAUCUGCGAGGUGUGAGCCGCCAGACGUUGCUGCCCCGCUGCCCCCGGCCUCACCAGCCUCUAGCCGACGUUUGAUGGGUAACUGGAACUGCAAACGAGCUGCUGUGUUUGAGCUGUUAAAGGGAGAGCGAGCCUGCACUUCUCACCAGAGAAAAUCCCCUGCUUCUCAGGUAUGUGGCCCAGGGAGAGCCAGGGCAAGGGAAUGUGCUGCCUGGGCCCCCGAGCUCGCUCGGGCCCACUGGAUAGAUGGCCAGUGUUGCCACGUGUCGCUUGGCACAGGUGGUAUAUGAUGCUCCCCUGGAUGGGUCCGUUGAUGGAGGAUAAACAGGGCAGGUCAAGGAGGGACUGGUCUUGAAGCACAUCUGGCUGGCUGCUGCAGUCCCCUUGGGAAGUGAACGGGGAUCAGAUGCCGCUAUCUUGGACCUCAGUCUCUUCCCCCUAUGUGUUUCCCGCUUAUGCUGGCUCUGGGGUGGGCGGCUUUGCUGCUGCCUGCGGUCACUCUGCCUGCAGGAGAUCUUCACGGUCCGUGGCUGCUGCUGGCAGCAGCAAGGUCCCCAGCUCUGCAGUGGAUUUGCCUCUCCUGUGCAAGCCAGCUCCCACUGAGCACUGUCCCUCACCUGCUGCAGGGCCAGGCCUGCUGGGCAAGGCAUCUCCUCGUAACGUCCUCACCUCUCGCUACUGUCUUGAACAAUCCUCCUGGUGGGGUGGGCUUUGACAUGGCCAAGCAGGAAGGAAAUCUUCGUUCCCCAUUCCCUGAAAACAGUCCGUCGCUGUGCCGGCCCCGGUUUGGAAAUCUCCCUGGCAAUGUGAACUACAGUUCCUCCCGCAUCCCAGCUGGUGGUAGGAGGAGAAACACGAUGCACUUUACAGGGAGGCUUUCUGCUCCGUCUCGGAAGGUCCUGCUCUUUUCUCCUCUUUCCUCUUGCUUGAGAAAGUUGAGGUCGUCUUGGCAGCACUGAAGAGACCUCUCAUCCCUGCGUGCGAGCCCUGAGGAAGGCCUGACCUGUCCUCGCCAGUGCUAGCAGCCACUGCCUCCCUGCUCUGCAGCCCCGGACCAGGCAGGUGGAGGAGGACCGGUGGUGGGCACAGCUUUAAGCAGGAGCAGAGCCUGCUCCCCGCAGCAGCUGGCUCGGCUUUCCUUCUCUUUCGUUCCAGAACUUAUUUACUUUCUAAGCACUUCAGAUGUUUGCUACCUCGAUUUUUAAUUUAAGCUGGCACUUGGCUGCCAGCCCUGUCAGCCUCUGCGUUGGAUGUAUCCAUCCCCGUGCCCACCGAGAGCUGCCCGGGCGCGGGGCCACAUUCCCGGCUUCGGGGAGAUAACAGUGGUGUGGCUGUUGCCGUCUUCCUGUCACCACCUCUUCCCUCCGCGUCCCCACCCGCUGUUCCCAUCGACAGGAGUGAGCACAGAGGGUGAAGUGGAUGUGCUGGCUGCCACCCAUCAGGGAAGCAGGAGGGCAGGGCUCCAACAGGGAUCUUGUCUACACUGUGAUGCUGGGCGCUUCUUCCGACAUCUUUUGUUCUACUGCUUGCUUGAAAGAGUCUUGUCUUAAAACAGUCCCCACUGAAGUGUUUCUUACUCGCACCACCUGCUCUCAAGUUUCUCCCGGGCCGGAUCUCCCUGGGAAAGGUGUCCCUUGGGCUCCACAAGAGAGCAGGAGCUGCUGUCCCCAGGAAGAGGAGAGGAGAGAAAGCUGUGGCCAGGCUGCCCUGCUGCUGUCCAAGAGCACGGGAAGCGGCAUCGAACCCGCCUCGGGUACAGGGAAAGGCAGAGGAGGAGUGGGGAGGGGGCUGGUGCCAUUUGCCUGCCCCAGCGGGGAGCCCCUCGCCUGGCUACCACCCAGAAAUCUGUUGGCAAGGCAGGGCCUGAACCCCGGGGAGCAGAAGAGACCGAGACCAGCUUAGCAAGCAUGCUUUUGUCCUCGCUGACAGGCUGUCCACCCUUCCCCCAGGGCAUCAAACAUGCUUCCCCCUAAAAAACACAUCUUCUCCCACCCUCCCAUGUCGCUGAGCGGCAGUGAACCUCCGCAGGCUGCUAACAAGCUGCGUCCUGCCCCGCUUCUUCCCAGGCUGGUCCCCGAGCAGCCAGCCCCGGGCCCCCCCUCCGCUGGCCUCCAGCCCUCCUGCAGCAGCAGGGCCUCGGGAGCACCUAGAGUGGUCUUAAAAAUGUGAAGGUCGCUGUAAAUAGUAUCUGUGUCCACUGUGAUGUUGGAGCAAGCAAAAAACAAAACAAAAAACAAAGGAAAGUUUUCCUUUUGGUUCUUUUCUUGGGUUUUUUUUUACGAUUUCCGUGCAACGUUGUGCUGUCCCGUGUGGAUGUGUAUCUGAACCGCACUCACUGACACUAGGCUCCUUGCUCCUCUAGCGUGUGGGUAGGACCCGAGGGUUUGGGAAACGUACACUAUUUAUGAUCCUUCCUCCCAGUGCAUCUGUCCACUUUUGUUAAAUUUCAAUAAAAUUAUUUGUAGAG